GGACGGUAAUCCGACACGACCGGAGAGAGAUCAGGGGGUCUACCCUAAUUCACCGAAAAACGAAGUUUCGUACGAAAUUUCGCGAACUUCUUACCACGGUUCCAUUUCGUUCCGAAAUUUCGUACGAACGAAGAUUGUUUGACGUUUAUUGUCUAUAAACCUACUCUAAUUCGAAAUGCUACGAACGAAUAUUUGAGUUUGACAGACGAAACUUCGGAAUUUUAACCUCAAAUUCAACGAAACCAAAAGAGUUAUCGUUUGAUUUUCGUGUUACUUUUCGUUUUGUGAAUUUUGUGUGAAAAUUAUUGGCAAAGGCUACAAUAAUGCUUUUAAUCAAAGCAGCUUUACGUGAAGAUCAUGUAGAGCGAAGAAGGAACCGGCAGUGCUUGCGCAAUCAAUUAAAUAUUAGCGAAAUUCCCGACGUAGAGUUUGUAGGAAAUCACAGACUCAGUCGGCAAUUUUUCGAAGGGUUGUGCCAGGAAUUCGUGCCUUUAUUACCUCCAAACAAUGCACAUUGCAAUUGCUAGACCUUCUGGAAUCGAAAAUAUUUCCCUUCUCUUAACACCCAAGUUGUAAGUAUAAGAACUAAACAUUAAUGAUUUAAUUGAGGCAUUGACUGUUGUUUAUUAUGAUGCUGAUCAAUCCUUUAUUAUUUUCCAGAUAUUAUGUGACAGCGAUACUAUAUAACAAAUGUGGAUGUGUCAUUUGGUGGAGCAACACACAUGAUGCUUAUAUUUGGAGAGUGUGAUAUUAGAAGCCACUUGGAGGGUCUCCAGAAUGAAACAGUUUAUCUGUUAGGUGACUCUGGGUAUUCUCUCUAAGGGAGCAUAUGAUGACACCGAUAGAUAAAGCUGUUGAAGAUUCUCUUGAAGGCAGAUACAACUUUGCAGAGCUUUGUUAGUGCAAAUUUUGGAAAGGAAUAGGUAGGACAAAGUUCUACUCAAGCACAUCAUAACAUGCUCCAGAAAAUAUGUAUGUUUAUUGAUUUUAAGUAUUUGACAUGAUGUUAUUUAUUUCCUGUAGAGUUUAAUAAAAGAAUAAAUUAUA
Molecule: long non-coding RNA, 1047 nt
Organism: Helicoverpa zea (corn earworm)
Lineage: Eukaryota; Metazoa; Arthropoda; Insecta; Lepidoptera; Noctuidae
Exons: 2
Source: RefSeq, a predicted model, not a curated record